GGGGUUGUGGCUCAGUGGUGGAGCACUCACCUAGCAUGUGUGAGGCUCUGGGUUCAAUCUUCAGCACCA
Molecule: transfer RNA, 69 nt
Filed under: Marmota marmota marmota (Alpine marmot)
Lineage: Eukaryota; Metazoa; Chordata; Mammalia; Rodentia; Sciuridae
Also listed under: 2 other names
Rfam family: tRNA
About the family: Transfer RNA (tRNA) molecules are approximately 80 nucleotides in length. Their secondary structure includes four short double-helical elements and three loops (D, anti-codon, and T loops).
Source: Rfam by way of RNAcentral